Hippocampus comes (tiger tail seahorse) is the source of this 121-nucleotide long non-coding RNA. RefSeq lists it as uncharacterized. NCBI's taxonomy places the organism in Eukaryota, Metazoa, Chordata, Actinopteri, Syngnathiformes, Syngnathidae. The transcript is spliced from 4 exons. The record is from RefSeq and is a predicted model, not a curated record.
UCAAAAUAAUACAGCCGAGGAACACUCCACCGCAAAUUGCUUCACUAAAAUAUUCACCGUGACUACUCAACGAUAGACACACGUUUGCUGCUAAAAUGUAUUAACAUUAUACUCACAAAUG